GAUGAAGAACGCAGCGAAAUGCGAUAAGUAAUGUGAAUUGCAGAAUUCAGUGAAUCAUCGAGUCUUUGAACGCACAUUGCGCCCCCUGGUAUUCCGGGGGGCAUGCCUGUCCGAGCGUCAUUGCUGCCCUCAAGCACGGCUUGUGUGUUGGGCCGUCGUCCCCUCCUAGGGGACGGGCCCGAAAGGCAGCGGCGGCACCGCGUCCGGUCCUCGAGCGUAUGGGGCUUCGUCACCCGCUCCGUAGGCCCGGCCGGCGCUUGCCGACGACCAUCAAUCUCUUUCUCCAGGUUGACCUCGGAUCAGGUAGGGAUACCCGCUGAACUUAAGCAUAUCAAUAAGCGGAGGA
This 346-nucleotide unclassified non-coding RNA is filed under the name soil metagenome. RNAcentral's name for it is "partial contains 5.8S ribosomal RNA, internal transcribed spacer 2, and large subunit ribosomal RNA". The stretch from base 1 to 120 matches the Rfam family "5.8S ribosomal RNA", at positions 35 to 154 of the family's 154-position model. The record is from RNAcentral.